This 436-nucleotide unclassified non-coding RNA is filed under the name Hevea brasiliensis (rubber tree). Lineage: Eukaryota; Viridiplantae; Streptophyta; Magnoliopsida; Malpighiales; Euphorbiaceae. The record is from RNAcentral.
GGUCAUAUGUUAAGUUUACAGGACCGGCGAUAUCGUUUUGCCCGAUGUCCAUCAUGUAGAGUGCAUUCUGGAACCCUUCUUCGUUAAUUAAAUCCUUUGAUCCUUUUGCAACAAGCUCCAAGGAUCGAGACUUGAAACGAAGGAACUGCCGGACCUGAAUAGCCAAAGAGAAAGCCCGAUCUACCGGUUGCGUCGAUGCGCCGGCGACGGCGAAAUUUGCCCCGUUUUUGAAGUCUGGUGCCAGAGACUCGAGAUAUGAGCUCAGAUAGCUCGUCUUCAACCUCUCACAGAGGAAGUCGACGACGAGGCGACCGUCGCAGAUCCGCCCGGUGGAGCGAUGGAAAAAGAGGCGGCCUUCUGGGAGGGGGAAGUUGUAUCCGAAACCGGCGGCGGCGCCUCCGGUGUCGGAGUUUGAGUCGCCGAAGUUGAACAGCAC